AAAGUUGUCGUCUUCCGCCGCCAGCAGGGACUGGAUGAAUUCCGGAGGGAUGUCCGCGAAACGGAUCGGUGCCCGCCUCAUCUCGCCGAACUCGGCGAUCAGCUUCCCAUCGCUGCUAUACACGCGCAGCGGUAUCUGCAGCUGGAUGCUGCGUAGGGAAUCGACAGACGGAAGACUCGGGCUAAGGUAGAGAUAAGCGCCGCUGAAACUGAGCAACAGCCCACAAAAAACAGCAACGCAAGACCACCAGAAAAACUUCAGCAGGCGUAUCAAGAUUCUUGGAUUUCCAGGCAA
RNAcentral lists this antisense RNA (294 nucleotides) under Pseudomonas sp. FeS53a. RNAcentral describes it as "anti ponA RNA". It matches the Rfam family "anti ponA RNA". Rfam says of the family: Transcribed antisense to the penicillin-binding protein 1A gene called ponA. The record is from Rfam by way of RNAcentral. Lineage: Bacteria; Pseudomonadati; Pseudomonadota; Gammaproteobacteria; Pseudomonadales; Pseudomonadaceae.